UUGAUGCUGUAAUCUAGUUGGGUGUCAUGGUUUUUCCAAUUAUAGUUCUUCUCUGUGGACGUUGAGGGCUUCCCACAACUAAAGGAAGUUUUUUGCUAUCUGGCCAUUGGGAAAAAGGAAAAAAAAUUAAAUGUUUCAUUCUCAGGGUUCUUCAAAACAAACUUGUAGUCUUCUUGUAGUCACUCGUGGGAAAGUCUCUGAAUCCAAACGUAAAAAGGAUGUGCCGGAGAAUCAGCCGCUCUAUCCCUCUCCGGAGUUGGUCUCUUCAGGCCAUUUGGAGGUUCAAACUCUGACCAACCCAAGCAAAGAGGAGUUCUCUAAACUCCUUGAAUCAUAUAAGCCAAAUCUUGUAUACUUGCAAGGAGAACAGCUUGGGAAUGAUGAGGUUGGGCCUCUGGUUUGGGGAGAUGUCGACCUGUUGACCCUUUGAAUCGGUGUCGACCCCUUGAAUUGGUGUCCGAGCUCUUUGGCACUACAUUGCCUACCACGACAAGGCUUCAGGAUCUCUCUAGUUUGUCCACCUAUUUCCAAAAUACUUGUGGGAUUACUUCAGUGGAGAAGCAACUCUCUAUUUUAUACUUGUAGGGAUCUUCAGAUGGGCCCGAACAGUAUGUGGCAAUCAUGAAUGCCAUAUUUUCUGCACAGCGUUCUAUGGUUCCUAUAGAUUCUUGCUAUUUAGGCUCCAAUAAUUCUGCCUUCCUGCAGCAGGUAUGUAUCUAUAACUUGCAUCUCCUAACAGAUACUUAAUGCUUUAUUUACAGGUUAAAUAGUGGAAGACAAGACUUCAGGGCAAGAUUGUAUCUAUAACUUGCAUCUCCAAUUGGAGGGUAUGCAUCAACGGAAUCUUUUUUUCUCUUCAUAUUUGCAAGAUUGUAAUAGCACGUUUUUUUUUCUUUUCGGAUUUUUGUAUGUACGCAACAAAGACUCAUGCAACUUUC
Long non-coding RNA from Morus notabilis, 938 nucleotides. RefSeq lists it as uncharacterized. Lineage: Eukaryota; Viridiplantae; Streptophyta; Magnoliopsida; Rosales; Moraceae. The transcript has 7 exons. The record is from RefSeq and is a predicted model, not a curated record.